GCUCGGGGUUUGACCUUUCUCGUUUCCAACCCUCUCCUUCCGCCUCCGCCGCCACACCCCUCGGGUUUGAAGCCCACACACGCGGCCUCUCUCCCAUGUAACCGGCCGGCAUGAGCAUCGCCAGCGGGAGAGCACGCAGCCCACCCCAACAGCAGCGGGGAGCUGGCCUGCCGCCGCCGCCGGGGAGGCGACCCGGCGACCGGAGGAGAGGGCGCCAUGGCGCGGAAGCACGGCUGGCAGCUCCCGGCCCACACCCUGCAGGCGGCUUCCGGCGGAGGAGUCUCGUGUUGUUCGUGGAGGCUGCGAGGAGGUAGCGAUGGGGAUCGGCUACCGAGCGAGGGCAAGGGCGCCGAUCUUCCAUCUCCUGUUUGUAAUUACCGGCGCGGCCACCAUCGACUGGAUCUUCACCCCCUUGGAUCCCUCUUUCUCUACCAACCGGUGAUUGAACAGAUUAAUGUGUCUCUACACCUUGUUAGUUAGUACUAUUAAGAAAAUGAAGGUUGCUCCUGCCGUGAAACAACUUAAAAAAUUAUAAACAAAAGUUGAUGGACGAGCUGCAGCCGAUGGUCGGUGAUAUACUGAUAUGUGUUUGUGCCAGAGCUUUUGCACUCUCCUUGCAUCAAUUUUUUAUCUAACUCUACUAUGUCUGGCAUAAUAGGAUGAUGAGGCAAGUCAGUAAGUUGAGAAGGUCAACAGUUGAAGCGAAUCUCAAUGUAUUACUUGAUAACUCUUUAGUGCAUUUUUUGUGCCAACAUUACAUUAAUCAAUCACUUUGAUUAGUGGAAGCAACUAAACUGUUGUUGUAAGUACAUAUAAUCAGAACGAAGGGUGAGCGCGGAUAAGCAGAUCAAUAGGUUGCUAUAUUAUUCCACAUAUAUGGGUUUGUGUGAUGUUACUUUGGAUUACUAAGAUUGUUAAUCUAUACUGGAAAUUAGUGGCUGUUAAAAAUUAGUCUUGAUUUACUAUAGCAAUAGUUGUUGGUUACAGCCAUUACAAAGAUUGAUUAGUUCUAUCAGGUUAUUUAAACAGCAGCAAGGAAUGAACAUUACAGCUCUCUUUGAUUUUCUUUGAUGUUUCCUCUUUUGUCUGAUCUGAAUUAAUAUGUCAUGACUAUAUAUUCUACCCCACAUCAUCAUUCCUUCUACAUCGCUCAUAGGAGAAUAUGGUAAUGGCACUUUAUUACUUGGUGGUAAUAGACAUAACUCCAGUCUUGCCAUGUUUGUACAAUUAAUUUAAUUCAAUUCCAAACAUGUAUCAUUUGCAGAAGAUGUGCCAUCAGUUGAUGGGCAGCUAACCGUUGCAAGAGCAUUCAGAGAUAUGAGCUGCUACUCAUACACAGCUCCUACAAACCUACAGAGCCAUUGUUCUCCUACCUGGGAGCGGAUAGGAAGGAUUUGGGUGCCGGCAACGUGGGGCUGAGAAGAAAGGAGGAUGUGCGAGGACAACUAGUGGGCGUACUACAACCGCAGCUGAUUCGUGUGUGUUGUUUGUUCGAUCCAACCCUUCCGUCUGCAGGGCCUGGCGAAGGGAAUGAAGAUGCACACCCUCGGCCUCGGCCAUGACUUUGUCCUCUAGGUACAAAAGCGAGAUAGACUGAAAUUUGAUAAACAUUUGCUGAAUAUACAGUAUUGCAUGAUUCCUUGUAUUAGCCUCUUUCCAAAUGCUCAGUUUUAUGACAGGAAGAUUUUACAUGGUUCAAAUAUCCUGUCUCCUAGCUAUGACAAGGAUUAUACAUGCCUCCUGUAUGGCAGCUACACUCUUAUGAAUGUCACGGAUGGGAGGGAAGACAAGGAGGGCACAGGAAACAGUCGACGAAACAUGGUUGAAGUUGCUGUUGUUCUGCACCUCAUCCAAACCAUCUUUAGAUGUUGGAAAAGUACAGGCAAAGCGCUUAGCAUCGGUGUGGUCUCUUCCUAUAGUCUCAAUUUGAUGCUAUUAAAGAUAGACUUGAUAAAAAAUACAACACAUGUGAUGGCUUUCAUGUGCGCAUCAAGUCUAUUGAUGGUUUUCAAGGAGAAGAGGAUGAUAUAUUAAUACUAUCAACGGUAAUAUCCAAUUGGAAUGGAGUUGUUGGGUUUCUUGCUGAUAACCAAAGAACAAACAUUACAUGGGACAAGGGCAAGGCUCUGGAUUUUCUGAAUGAAUCGUUAGUAUAUACCCAACUGAAGCGAUGACGUCUGCCGGUGUAUAUUGGCGACGACCGCAUCGACAGGAUCCUGGUGGCCAAGUGCCUCAAGGAGAGCAGCACGUCUUACUCACUCCAGGACCCAGCAGAGCUUUUUCAUGGCCUUUAGACAUUUGAAACGGAGGGAGUAUGAUUCUCCUAUAUUUGCGUGCUUGUAGCUUUGAUCUAUUUUAUGAAUAUGUGCUGCUGCUGUAUCUUAUUUUUUCCAACCUA
Molecule: long non-coding RNA, 2398 nt
Organism: Triticum dicoccoides
Lineage: Eukaryota; Viridiplantae; Streptophyta; Magnoliopsida; Poales; Poaceae
Exons: 5
Source: RefSeq, a predicted model, not a curated record